CAACUAAAUAUGCGUUGAGGUGACCCGUGAGCCCGGAAGCUAGGGCAUAAAGGUGGAAGCUGGUGCGAGUCCAGCGCUGUGCCGCAACUGUAUGCAGGCCCCAAGCCUGCGAGCCAGGAUACCUGCCUCAAGUACGCUGCCGCG
RNAcentral lists this non-coding RNA (144 nucleotides) under Kouleothrix aurantiaca. The record is from RNAcentral. Lineage: Bacteria; Bacillati; Chloroflexota; Chloroflexia; Chloroflexales; Roseiflexaceae.